UAACCCUCACACUCUAACAAGUGUGGAAAUGAGAUUUCUCCUUAAAACCGAGUAUCUUUAAACUGAUUACCAACACUUGUUUAUCAAUACUUUUGUUAAACGGCAAGAUUACUGGAUGGUUUUAACCGUUCUUUACUUUGCUUACUAGACAGUUGAGGCGAUUACAUUUAAGUUGGCUAAAAAAGUUAUACGAAAGUCCUUUUUGAAAAAAAAAGGCUUUUAAGAC
RNAcentral lists this unclassified non-coding RNA (226 nucleotides) under uncultured Chytridiomycota. Its description in RNAcentral is "sequence contains ITS2". The record is from RNAcentral. Lineage: Eukaryota; Fungi; Chytridiomycota.